GUGACGCACCGCCCCCUCCCAGCCACAGCGCCGCCCUCCGACACUCCCCUCACUGCGUCUAAGGGCCCACAUCCCUCGGGUUGGGACGCCAUCUUGACACUGGGCGGAAGCCUUCAGGCAAGAGGCCAGAAUCAGAUUGAGGAUUGGUUCAAAGUGAGGCGUGGGACAAAAGCUGUGGAACUAUUGGAGGCCGAGACCUAGGAGGGCGGCACUUACCGUUAAUCGAUGUCUGCCAUGAGGCUGGGACGGAGGUACCGCCCCACCUUGAAGACCCAGAACCUUACGGGCAGUCCUACUCUCUGCUGAGGUUGAACUCUCCAGCCGCUGGAAAUCGGCCAGCCGUCGUUUAUUUAUCAGAAAAGCGAUACUUCCUAGAUGCCUGUUUCUUGGAUUCUGGAACUCUGUGCGGGAAGCUCUGCAGUUAGGCUCAAUAAAAGGCAGGAAUUCCUAUCGUAACUCUGUAGUUCAUUUCCCUCUGUAGGCCCUUCUUUAGAAACCCCAAGGAUGGCCAGCUUCAACUUGGAGAUUCCUGUAGUUCUGACCAGGGAGGUUUACAGGAAAGAGUUCCCAUUAAUGAUUUCAGUCACCUAACCAAGUCCCUCCUGCCACAGUUUCAGUCCCUUUCUCCUCCUCCAACAGCCACGCCCUCCAUGAAUCAGCUUCUUGCACCCGCAGAUGAGCCCUUUAAAGGGAUUGCAUCAGGCUGGUGACUCACUUUGGGCCCUCUGAGAGCCUGAGUUCUCUCCCCUGGCAUGCAGAAGUAGCUAGAAGGACUCAGUGACGUGACGGCAGCACCAGCGGCCAUAGCCCCACUCCUUUGUCUCUGAAAAAUGAGCUGGGAUGCUUGCUGCUUGUCUCUUUAACUCUCAGCUGUCUUUUCAGCAGUCCCCUGGUAUCCAAGCUAUAUCCAAGCCUGUGUGCACUGCUGGGUUUCAGGGUGCAUGGCCAGGCACGUGUAUGUGCAAUGACACUGCCAUCUCCAACCCCGGCAGACUCUCAGCUGAUUUAAAAUACAGGAUUUUAACGAAGGAAGGAAGAAGAAGAGAAAGAAAGAAGGAAAAGAGGGCUCUAAUUAUCAGCCAGAUGAAUCACUUGGCAAUGACACCACCAUCCCCACCCCCAGGAGACUCAGCUGAUUCAAAAUAUAGGAUUUUAAUACAGGAGAGGAGGAGGAAGAUAAAGAAGGGAGCAGAAGAGGUAAUGAACAGAAAGUAGAGGUGCCAGCCAGAGGAAAUGGAAACUGUCACCAGGACACUAACACGAGGAGAUGGCUGGGACACAGACACACGUGAUGACACACUCCUGCUGGCUCUUCCGCUCUGGCUGACUAGCAGAUGGAGCUGCUGUCACACAGCGACGCCUGUCACAACACCACAACAUGGCUCCUUGAUGAGGUAAAGGACGAUCCGCCUGUCACAGAAGGAGGCGAAGAGACCCUCAAACUCCAGGGUCCUCUUCAGGCUUCUGAAGGCCAGCUCUUCUUACUGGCUGUUUGAGGGUUUUUUUUACUGUUUCUGUGGGUAAGCCCCAAGGUGUAGGUAUGGCAAAUUUUUAUCGUCAGACCCACAUGGUGGCUGGGUAUGACAACUAAGGUGAGCAGAGGCAAGUCUAAUUUUAUUUUGCCAUCAGUAUGAUGUCAAGAGGACUGGGCCACCUACAUCAACCUUUCUCAGCUCAAAGCAGCUAGAUGGAAACUACGUCCAUUCUCCCUAAUGACAGUUAGGGGUACCUGUUCAGCGGGGGAAUAUUGUAGACAGCUAAGUUAGGUAGAAAUAUUACAGGCACUCAGACAGAGCUAGGCCCUUGAGGAAGUCAGUGCAGAAGAUGAGAACACUUCAGAACUAUGGCUGGAGGUGCGUUUAAAGCAGAUUAAAGUCACAAUGGCCAGUUCACCUUCUUCCCUAAGGGAUAAGCAGAAGUUUAAGAUUACUGGUCCACUCUUGAGAUUUCCUGUGUUAAUAAAUCAUUAUCUCAUUAGGGGCAGGAUGGCCAUCUUUUCCCACCCACUAAGACUAAAACUACUAAAGCUAAGGCUGAGGUUGAAGACAAGAUUAAAGCUAUAGAUUAUCAGCCAAGGUUUAUGUCAUCCAUAUUCUUUUCCCACUACUGGAUCAACAUUACCUAAGCAGCUAUACUUGUAAUUUUAUUGGUCGAUUAUAGUUUUGACUUACAUUAUACCCACCUUCUGAUUUUGCUCUAUAAAACUUUCUUGGAGAAGUAGGCUCUUUGGCAAUUCAUUCAGGACCCCUCCUGUCUCUCAGGAGCUGUUUCUAUUCCCCAUUCUUAUUCCCCAAUAAAUUUUCCUACUCUUAAAAAAAAAAAAAAAGAAAAAGAAAAACAUGCUGAGCUAGGCAUCACGGAACAUUCCUAUAAUCCCAGUACUUGGAAGGCUGAGGCAGGAGGAUCACUGUAAAUUCGAGACCAGCGUGGGCUAGACAGUGAGACCCUAUCUCAGAGGAAAAAAAAGAAGAAGAAGAAAGAAGAAAGAAGAAAGAAGAAGAAGAAGAAGAAGAAGAAGAAGAAGAAGAAGAAGAAGAAGAAGAAGAAGAAGAAGAAGAAGAAGAAGAAGAAGAAGAAGAAGAAGAAGAAGAAGAAG
RNAcentral lists this long non-coding RNA (2596 nucleotides) under Fukomys damarensis (Damara mole-rat). RNAcentral describes it as "lncRNA (ENSFDAG00000027463.1)". The record is from RNAcentral. Lineage: Eukaryota; Metazoa; Chordata; Mammalia; Rodentia; Bathyergidae.